UCCCGUUUGACACGUGCAUGUCAAGCCCAGGUAAGGUUCUUCGCGUUGCGUCGAAUUAAACCACACGCUCCGCUGCUUGUGCGGGCCCCCGUCAAUUCCUUUGAGUUUUAGCCUUGCGGCCGUAGUCCCCAGGCGGAGAACUUAUCGCGUUAGCUUCGGCACCGAGGGGGUCGAUACCCCCGACACCUAGUUCUCAUCGUUUACAGCGUGGACUAC
Molecule: unclassified non-coding RNA, 216 nt
Filed under: uncultured Chloroflexota bacterium
Lineage: Bacteria; Bacillati; Chloroflexota
Description: uncultured Chloroflexi bacterium contains 16S-23S intergenic spacer region
Source: RNAcentral